AUAGAAGCGCCGGAGCCGGGCGGGAUGCGCCGGCUGACGAGGAUGGAGGUUGCGCAAAAGCGCGAAAAUCGAAGGGUUCGGCGGAUGCCUCCCGUCUGCCGUGAGGCGAAAGGAUCGCAGAAAAACCGCGGGGCGACCUGCGGGACAAAGGGC
Molecule: non-coding RNA, 153 nt
Filed under: human gut metagenome
Description: glmS glucosamine-6-phosphate activated ribozyme
Rfam family: glmS glucosamine-6-phosphate activated ribozyme aptamer
About the family: This entry contains a glucosamine-6-phosphate activated ribozyme that is found in the mRNA for GlmS.
Source: RNAcentral